Molecule: ribosomal RNA, 253 nt
Filed under: uncultured bacterium
Lineage: Bacteria
Description: partial 16S ribosomal RNA
Rfam family: Bacterial small subunit ribosomal RNA
Source: RNAcentral
UACAGAGGUCCCGAGCGUUGUUCGGAUUCAUUGGGCGUAAAGGGUGCGUAGGUGGUUUGUUAAGUCUGCUGUGAAAUCCCCGGGCUCAACCUGGGAAUGGCAGUGGAUACUGGCAAGCUAGAGUGCGGUAGAGGGUAGUGGAAUUCCCGGUGUAGCAGUGAAAUGCGUAGAGAUCGGGAGGAACACCAGUGGCGAAGGCGGCUACCUGGACCAGCACUGACACUGAAGCACGAAAGCGUGGGGAGCAAACAGG